AAGAAAUAGACUAAAUUGCUUCAAUGUAAUAAAGAAUACAAAUUAAAGUAAAAAACUUUUCAUUUAAACAGUUGUUCUUAAAUUAACGGCGUACCAAAAGAAUUAUGCAGUGAUGUCAAUCGCAAAGACUAUUAAGGCGAGUACCGGUGUGUUUACUGUGUUUAAAUGUCUGAAAUCGAAGAUCUAGUCUUAAAAUAUAGACUAAAAGUUUAUUAAAUGGCGAACAUAAUUUAGACUUUAGUUUUUUUAUACGUGAAAAAUAAAGAAGAACACAGUCUUAGCCUAAGUAAACAGUAAGAAUUGACUAAUUACUGCAAAACAAGGGCAAUGUAUCUUGAA
Molecule: long non-coding RNA, 339 nt
Organism: Hylaeus volcanicus
Lineage: Eukaryota; Metazoa; Arthropoda; Insecta; Hymenoptera; Colletidae
Exons: 3
Source: RefSeq, a predicted model, not a curated record